UAACAACUGGGUUGUCAUUAAAGAGGUACAGGAACCACCAGAAAAUGAAAGUUAUCAGAAAAACUAUCAUUGAAGUAGGGUGCCAAAGGAGAGUUAAGAAGAGGAUCGUUAGCGCUAUAAUUACGUAGUUCACGCGAAAGUAAGAGAGGUUGAUCUUUAUUCGUGCCUUGGCAUCGCCGAGGUUGAUCUUUAUUCGUGCCUUGGCAUCGCCGGCAGAGAUGGGGAGGCAGAAAGAGGAGAGGGAGAAUAGCUCUGGCCACGGGCGGCGCGUGUGUUUGGAAUGUGAGGAAAAGGUGGUUGGGUUGGAGGUGAUGGUGCCGUAAGUGGUGG
This 330-nucleotide long non-coding RNA is filed under the name Gossypium barbadense (sea-island cotton). RNAcentral describes it as "long non-coding RNA (GBAR_LNC021104)". The record is from RNAcentral. Lineage: Eukaryota; Viridiplantae; Streptophyta; Magnoliopsida; Malvales; Malvaceae.